UCUGGUGACAAUAGCAAAGAGGUCACACCUGUUCCCAUGCCGAACACAGAAGUUAAGCUCCUUAGCGCCGAUGGUAGUCGGACUAACGUUCCGCUAGAGUAGGACGUUGCCAGGC
This 115-nucleotide ribosomal RNA is filed under the name Staphylococcus pasteuri. The record is from RNAcentral. Lineage: Bacteria; Bacillati; Bacillota; Bacilli; Caryophanales; Staphylococcaceae.